UCAAGAUGAGAUUUCCCGGGGACUUGAUCCCCCUAAAGGGUCGUUCUAGACCAGGACGUUGAUAGGUCGGGUGUGGAAGCGUGGUAACACGUUAAGCUAACCGAUACUAAUUGCCCGUGCGGCUUGAUCCU
Molecule: ribosomal RNA, 131 nt
Filed under: Burkholderiales bacterium
Lineage: Bacteria; Pseudomonadati; Pseudomonadota; Betaproteobacteria; Burkholderiales
Description: partial 23S ribosomal RNA
Rfam family: Bacterial large subunit ribosomal RNA
Source: RNAcentral